Molecule: ribosomal RNA, 468 nt
Filed under: uncultured bacterium
Lineage: Bacteria
Description: partial 16S ribosomal RNA
Rfam family: Bacterial small subunit ribosomal RNA
Source: RNAcentral
GACGAACGCUGGCGGCGUGCUUAACACAUGCAAGUCGAACGGAAAGGCCCUGCUUUUGUGGGGUGCUCGAGUGGCGAACGGGUGAGUAACACGUGAGUAACCUGCCCUUGACUUUGGGAUAACUUCAGGAAACUGGGGCUAAUACCGGAUAGGAGCUCCUGCUGCAUGGUGGGGGUUGGAAAGUUUCGGCGGUUGGGGAUGGACUCGCGGCUUAUCAGCUUGUUGGCGGGGUAGUGGCUUACCAAGGCUUUGACGGGUAGCCGGCCUGAGAGGGUGACCGGCCACAUGGGGACUGAGAUACGGCCCAGACUCCUACGGGAGGCAGCAGUGGGGAAUAUUGUACAAUGGGCGGAAGCCUGAUGCAGCAACGCCGGGGGCGGGAUGACGGCCUUCGGGUUGUAAACCGCUUUCGCCUGUGACGAAGCUGGAGUGACGGUAAUGGGUAAAGAAGCACCGGCUAACUACGUG